AAAAGUGUUUCCGGGGUUCACUCCAGGAGAAUCAUUGCAGUGUUUCGUUUAUUACUCUGAGCUCUGAAAAACUGUUGUAGCCCUGAUACGGAUUUGGGUUUCUAAAUCUGCCUUUUCCUUUUUGUGAUUAUGGCCGGGAAGGUUAUGCAAGCUGUCCGUUAUGAGGCUUAUGGUGGUGGAUCCGCUGGUUUGAAGGGUACCAUCAAAUUCGGGUGCAUGCUCAAGAUGUACACAUGACUUCAUUUCACACACACGAGGGUCAUUACGAAUUUUUGGUGAUCCCUUUUUUUCUCAUUAAUGUGCCCUCUACUUUCCAAUCCUUAAUGAAUGAGAUUUUUUGCC
This is a long non-coding RNA of Nelumbo nucifera (sacred lotus), 342 nucleotides long. RefSeq lists it as uncharacterized. The record is from RefSeq and is a predicted model, not a curated record. Lineage: Eukaryota; Viridiplantae; Streptophyta; Magnoliopsida; Proteales; Nelumbonaceae.